UGUAAGCUUUGGAGGCUUGUUUACAUUGGAGGGAGCCUUAGCAAGCAGGCGCUACUGUCGUAAAGUGUAGAGAAAGGGCUACGUCAGUGUAUCCUCAGGGUUUGUUUUGAUCUAUCUUGUGAUUAUUAAAGGAAACCUCUCACCUACCUUCAUCUCUUGGAAAGCAAAAGCAGAACAAAGGCUUAUUCUUUAAGGGGAAAUCUACCUCUGUCCCUUGGCUGUCAUACAAGUACUGUGUGUGGACAUUCCACGAGCAGAGUAUUAAAGUGUCCAGAGCUGACCUGCAGGAGACGGCAGAGUCAUAUACUGGAAGCCUUUACAGUCACCGACAGCUGAUGGUGAU
This is a long non-coding RNA of Cyprinus carpio carpio, 343 nucleotides long. The record is from Ensembl. NCBI's taxonomy places the organism in Eukaryota, Metazoa, Chordata, Actinopteri, Cypriniformes, Cyprinidae.